RNAcentral lists this ribosomal RNA (406 nucleotides) under uncultured bacterium. RNAcentral's name for it is "partial 16S ribosomal RNA". It matches the Rfam family "Bacterial small subunit ribosomal RNA", at positions 30 to 526 of the family's 1533-position model. The record is from RNAcentral.
AUUGAACGCUGGCGGCAGGUCUAACACAUGCAAGUCGAGCGAGCGGCGGACGGGUGAGUAAUGUAUGGGGAUCUGCCCGAUAGAGGGGGAUAACUACUGGAAACGGUGGAUAAUACCGCAUACUAUCGGAUGAACCCAUAUGGGAUUAGCGAGUAGGUGGGGUAAAGGCUCACCUAGGCGACGAUCUCUAGCUGGUCGUAGAGGAUGAUCAGCCACACUGGGACUGAGACACGGCCCAGACUCCGACGGGAGGCAGCAGUGGGGAAUAUUGCACAAUGGGCGCAAGCCUGAUGCAGCCAUGCCGCGUGUAUGAAGAAGGCCUUCGGGUUGUAAAGUACUUUCAGCGAGGAGGCGUUACUCGCAGAAGAAGCACCGGCUAACUCCGUGCCAGCAGCCGCGGUAAUUC